CCUACGGGAGGCAGCAGUAGGGAAUUUUCGUCAAUGGGCGCAAGCCUGAACGAGCAAUGCCGCGUGAACGAGGAAGGUCUUCGGAUCGUAAAGUUCUGUUGAAGGGGAGAAAGAGCGGAGAGAGGAAAUGGUCUCCGAUUGAUAUUACCCUUCGAGGAAGUCACGGCUAACUACGUGCCAGCAGCCGCGGUAAUACGUAGGUGGCGAGCGUUAUCCGGAAUGAUUGGGCGGAAAGGGUGCGUAGGCGGCCUGCUAAGUCUGGAGUGAAAGGUACCGGCUCAACCGGUACAGGCUCUGGAAACUGGCGGGCUAGAGAGCAGGAGAGGGCGGUGGAACUCCAUGUGUAGCGGUAAAAUGCGUAGAUAUAUGGAAGAACACCAGUGGCGAAGGCGGCCGCCUGGCCUGUUGACUGACGCUGAGGCACGAAAGCGUGGGGAGCAAAUAGGAUUAGAUACCCCGGUAGUC
Molecule: ribosomal RNA, 465 nt
Filed under: uncultured bacterium
Lineage: Bacteria
Description: partial 16S ribosomal RNA
Rfam family: Bacterial small subunit ribosomal RNA
Source: RNAcentral